GAUGAACGCUGGCGGCGUGCCUAAUACAUGCAAGUCGAGCGAACGGACGAGAAGCUUGCUUCUCUGAUGUUAGCGGCGGACGGGUGAGUAACACGUGGAUAACCUACCUAUAAGACUGGGAUAACUUCGGGAAACCGGAGCUAAUACCGGAUAAUAUUAUGAACCGCAUGGUUCAAAAGUGAAAGACGGUCUUGCUGUCACUUAUAGAUGGAUCCGCGCUGCAUUAGCUAGUUGGUAAGGUAACGGCUUACCAAAGCAACGAUGCAUAGCCGACCUGAGAGGGUGAUCGGCCACACUGGAACUGAGACACGGUCCAGACUCCUACGGGAGGCAGCAGUAGGGAAUCUUCCGCAAUGGGCGAAAGCCUGACGGAGCAACGCCGCGUGAGUGAUGAAGGUCUUCGGAUCGUAAAACUCUGUUAUUAGGGAAGAACAUAUGUGUAAGUAACUGUGCACAUCUUGACGGUACCUAAUCAGAAAGCCACGGCUAACUACGUG
This 497-nucleotide ribosomal RNA is filed under the name uncultured bacterium. Its description in RNAcentral is "partial 16S ribosomal RNA". It matches the Rfam family "Bacterial small subunit ribosomal RNA", at positions 28 to 507 of the family's 1533-position model. The record is from RNAcentral.